GUUGAGGUGGCUCAGUGGUUAUGGCUUUGAGUUACUGAGCUGAAGGUUGUGUGUUCAAAUCCCAGCACCACCA
Molecule: non-coding RNA, 73 nt
Organism: Pangasianodon gigas (Mekong giant catfish)
Lineage: Eukaryota; Metazoa; Chordata; Actinopteri; Siluriformes; Pangasiidae
Source: the annotation of a GenBank genome assembly